GUAGGUGGCAAGCGUUGUCCGGAAUUAUUGGGCGUAAAGCGCGCGCAGGCGGUUCUUUAAGUCUGAUGUGAAAGCCCACGGCUCAACCGUGGAGGGUCAUUGGAAACUGGAGAACUUGAGUACAGAAGAGGAAAGCGGAAUUCCACGUGUAGCGGUGAAAUGCGUAGAGAUGUGGAGGAACACCAGUGGCGAAGGCGGCUUUCUGGUCUGUAACUGACGCUGAGGCGCGAAAGCGUGGGGAGCAAACAGGGAUUAGAUACCCUGGUAGUCCACGCCGUAAACGAUGAGUGCUAAGUGUUAGGGGGUUUCCGCCCCCUUAGUGCUGCAGCUAACGCAUUAAGCACUCCGCCCCGGGGUAGUACGCCCGCAAGGCUG
RNAcentral lists this ribosomal RNA (375 nucleotides) under uncultured organism. RNAcentral describes it as "partial 16S ribosomal RNA". It matches the Rfam family "Bacterial small subunit ribosomal RNA", at positions 527 to 896 of the family's 1533-position model. The record is from RNAcentral.